This 969-nucleotide long non-coding RNA is filed under the name Phascolarctos cinereus (koala). RNAcentral describes it as "lncRNA (ENSPCIG00000032673.1)". Lineage: Eukaryota; Metazoa; Chordata; Mammalia; Diprotodontia; Phascolarctidae. The record is from RNAcentral.
CACCAACCCUUCCGCAAUCCCAUGUCAUCCUCCCACCCAGCUCUGCCACCUUCGCCCUGCUAUCUCUACAGUGGGUUUGGCGCUCAGCGCUGGAAACAAGCACAAACUUUGGGGACCUUCUCCCCUCUGCCUCAUGCCACCCCACGUCACUGAAUCUCCCUUCUCUCCCCACCCACCACCUCCCGUUUGAGCUGGGAUCCAGGCUCACUGGAGAUUGGAAACGAAGGGCUCGGACUUUUCCUCAUAACUAACAGCAAUCCCCUCUAUGAAAAACUCCCCAUCGCUAUCCCGUUUUGGACACCGAAUAUACUCAGACUGCGCAGCCUCCCCUCGCUUCGUUGCAAAACUGGGAAACCCCCCUGCUCCUGGCGAUCAGCCGGCCCUCCUUCGCCCUCCUGCCUACUUUGCUGCUCCGUGACAUUGAGCUCCCCAGAGACGCCUCUGCAGCCGGGAGCAGCAACCCCUAUCUAGGGUCAUCUAUCUACAAGUGGGAAACAGACUCCCUCUAGAGCCACCGGGGGUUGGAGAUUAAAGGACUGAAGCGUCCGGCAACAGUCCUGCCAGCUGAGCGCCUGCGCGCCGCCCUGCCCCAAGCCACUCCGCCCCCACACCCCACUUUCCCGAAACCCCAGGGGCUUCUUGACACUGCAGAAUCCCGCAUCGGCAGAGGGAGUGCCUUCUUCCAAAGCCGGAGAGAGGGAGAGGAAACUCAUUCUGUACAAGGCGACACUUUGGGCAGAUUUCCUUGUGCUCAAGUCACUGAAAAUCUGCUUGCUAAGUCCUACAAAGAAACUGCAAAGGUGUGGUGGAUUGGAAAGGAGGAGCUUUAGCCAGAGCAACAUCUCAGAUCUCUGACAUUGCAGCUUUAGGGAGAAGUCCAAGUGUUGUAAAUGACAGCACUGUGUUUCAGGACACUGGCCUCUACCCAGGUGAUUUAUAAUAAAACAACCUUCUUUGGUUCUCUAUUCA